Molecule: long non-coding RNA, 617 nt
Organism: Gordionus sp. m RMFG-2023
Lineage: Eukaryota; Metazoa; Nematomorpha; Gordioida; Chordodea; Parachordodidae
Exons: 3
Source: RefSeq, a predicted model, not a curated record
GUGAAAUGUACAUUUAACAUUUUCGAUUAGAGUAGUCACAUUUUAUUUUUGUUAGAAAAAUAAAUUAAAUUAAAUAUGAAUUUUAUAAAUUUCUGGGGUGUGAUGGUACUGGGUUUACUGGUUCUUGGUCAAAUGACAAUUGGAAGCGAGCUCGAUAAAAAGUGUAAAGUCAUCAUAUGCAGCCUCCGAUGUAUUAAUGGCUUACAGAAAGAUAUCAACGGAUGCCAAUUGUGCAAGUGCGUUCCGCCAUCAUCAAAUACAACUCCCAAAAUGUGUCCAGAAUUACCUUGUUUUAAGUACAUUAAAUGUGCCCAUGGUCAAGUAUUGGAUGCCAAUGGAUGUCGCACCUGUGCUUGCAAACCUUAAACCAAAUUAUACCAACUCAAAAAAUUCUUGAAAGGCUCUAAUUAAAUAUAGAAACACAAAAUUUUAGAUAUUAUCUUUUUAAUUCAAAUUUUUUUUUGAAAUUUAUUAUAACUUUUGUAUUUAUUUAUAAAAAAAAUUAUAUUUAUAAAUUAUUCCAAAUUAUAAUGAUUUUUGAAUUCCAUUACUUAAUAUAUGACAGAGAUGAGGGGAGAAAAAUACCCACCAAAUAAAUUGUAAUAGUAAUAAAACAA